This 256-nucleotide ribosomal RNA is filed under the name uncultured bacterium. Its description in RNAcentral is "partial 16S ribosomal RNA". It matches the Rfam family "Bacterial small subunit ribosomal RNA", at positions 521 to 776 of the family's 1533-position model. The record is from RNAcentral.
UAAGACGAACCGUGCGAACGUUGUUCGGAAUCACUGGGCUUAAAGGGCGCGUAGGCGGGCUGCCAAGUCUGGGGUGAGAUCCUCCGGCUCAACCGGAGAACGGCCUCGGAUACUGGCGGUCUCGAGGGAGGUAGGGGCGUGCGGAACUAAGGGUGGAGCGGUGAAAUGCGUUGAUAUCCUUAGGAACUCCGGUGGCGAAGGCGGCACGCUGGACCUCUUCUGACGCUGAGGCGCGAAAGCCAGGGGAGCAAACGGG